GCUGGGCCUGGUGGAGGGCACCUGUGGUCCCAGCUACUUGGGAGGCUGAGGCAGGAGGAUUCUUGAGCCCAGGACAGUGAGGUUGCUGUGAGCUAUGACACCACAGCACUCUACCCAGGGUGACAGAGUGAGACUCUGUCUCCACAAGAAAAAAAAAAAAGAAGAAGUUGACAUCUUAUAAAAGUAUAAAAGUAAAAGCUCACUUCUUUCUUUCUUUUUUGAGACAGAGCCUCACUCUGUCACCCUGGGUAGAGUGCUGUGGUGUCAUAGCUCACAGCAACCUUAAACUCCUGGGCUCAAGAGAUCCUCCUGCCUCAGC
This 319-nucleotide signal recognition particle RNA is filed under the name Otolemur garnettii (small-eared galago). Its description in RNAcentral is "Metazoan signal recognition particle RNA". It matches the Rfam family "Metazoan signal recognition particle RNA". From Rfam's summary of the family: The signal recognition particle (SRP) is a universally conserved ribonucleoprotein. It is involved in the co-translational targeting of proteins to membranes. The record is from Rfam by way of RNAcentral. Lineage: Eukaryota; Metazoa; Chordata; Mammalia; Primates; Galagidae.